Molecule: transfer RNA, 57 nt
Filed under: Capra hircus (goat)
Lineage: Eukaryota; Metazoa; Chordata; Mammalia; Artiodactyla; Bovidae
Rfam family: tRNA
About the family: Transfer RNA (tRNA) molecules are approximately 80 nucleotides in length. Their secondary structure includes four short double-helical elements and three loops (D, anti-codon, and T loops).
Source: Rfam by way of RNAcentral
UGGCUCAGUUGGUAAAGAAUCUGCCUGCAAAGCAGGAGACCCAGGUUCGAUCCCUGG